This 426-nucleotide ribosomal RNA is filed under the name uncultured bacterium. Its description in RNAcentral is "bacterial SSU rRNA". It matches the Rfam family "Bacterial small subunit ribosomal RNA", at positions 30 to 507 of the family's 1533-position model. The record is from RNAcentral.
AUUGAACGCUGGCGGCAUGCCUUACACAUGCAAGUCGAACGGCAGCACGGGUGCUUGCACCUGGUGGCGAGUGGCGAACGGGUGAGUAAUACAUCGGAACGUACCUUAUCGUGGGAGUAAUACCGGAUGAGCCCUUCGGGGGAAAGAUUUAUCGCCAAAGGAUCGGCCCGCGUUGGAUUAGGUAGUUGGUGGGGUAAUGGCCUACCAAGCCGACGAUCCAUAGCUGGUUUGAGAGGAUGAUCAGCCACACUGGGACUGAGACACGGCCCAGACUCCUACGGGAGGCAGCAGUGGGGAAUCUUAGACAAUGGGGGAAACCCUGAUCUAGCCAUGCCGCGUGAUCGAUGAAGGCCUUAGGGUUGUAAAGAUCUUUCAGAUGGGAAGAUAAUGACGGUACCAUCAGAAGAAGCCCCGGCUAACUCCGUG